This 253-nucleotide ribosomal RNA is filed under the name uncultured bacterium. RNAcentral's name for it is "partial 16S ribosomal RNA". It matches the Rfam family "Bacterial small subunit ribosomal RNA", at positions 524 to 776 of the family's 1533-position model. The record is from RNAcentral.
UACAGAGGUCUCAAGCGUUGUUCGGAUUCAUUGGGCGUAAAGGGCGCGUAGGCGGCGAGGUAAGUCGGGUGUGAAAUCUCAGAGCUCAACUCUGAAACUGCACUCGAUACUGCUUUGCUAGAGGACUGGAGAGGAGAUUGGAAUUCACGGUGUAGCAGUGAAAUGCGUAGAGAUCGUGAGGAAUACCAGUGGCGAAGGCGGAUCUCUGGACAGUUCCUGACGCUGAGGCGCGAAGGCCAGGGGAGCAAACGGG